ACCAGACUCCUACGGGAGGCAGCAGUGGGGGAUAUUGCACAAUGGGGGGAACCCUGAUGCAGCGACGCCGCGUGGGUGAAGAAGCGCCUCGGCGCGUAAAGCCCUGUCAGCAGGGAAGAAAAUGACGGUACCUGAAGAAGAAGCCCCGGCUAACUACGUGCCAGCAGCCGCGGUAAUACGUAGGGGGCAAGCGUUAUCCGGAUUUACUGGGUGUAAAGGGGGCGCAGACGGCGAUGCAAGCCAGGAGUGAAAGCCCGGGGCCCAACCCCGGGACUGCUCUUGGAACUGCGUGGCUGGAGUGCAGGAGGGGCAGGCGGAAUUCCUGGUGUAGCGGUGAAAUGCGUAGAUAUCAGGAGGAACACCGGUGGCGAAGGCGGCCUGCUGGACUGCAACUGACGUUGAGGCCCGAAAGCGUGGGGAGCAAACAGGAUUAGAUACCCCCGUAAUG
Molecule: ribosomal RNA, 448 nt
Filed under: uncultured bacterium
Lineage: Bacteria
Description: partial 16S ribosomal RNA
Rfam family: Bacterial small subunit ribosomal RNA
Source: RNAcentral